This 253-nucleotide ribosomal RNA is filed under the name uncultured bacterium. Its description in RNAcentral is "partial 16S ribosomal RNA". It matches the Rfam family "Bacterial small subunit ribosomal RNA", at positions 524 to 776 of the family's 1533-position model. The record is from RNAcentral.
UACGUAGGCAGCAAGCGUUGUUCGGAAUUACUGGGCGUAAAGAGUGUGUAGGCGGUGCUCCAAGUCUGGUGUGAAAUCUCCCGGCUUAACUGGGAGGGUGCAUUAGAAACUGGAAUGCUAGAGGAUGGGAGAGGUAAGCGGAAUUCCUGGUGUAGCGGUGAAAUACGUAGAUAUCAGGAGGAACACCUGUGGUGUAGACAGCUUACUGGACCAUUUCUGACGCUGAGACACGAAAGCGUGGGUAGCAAACAGG